Long non-coding RNA from Parus major (Great Tit), 2597 nucleotides. The record is from Ensembl. NCBI's taxonomy places the organism in Eukaryota, Metazoa, Chordata, Aves, Passeriformes, Paridae.
GGGAUGGGUACAGAAAGAAUGGAAUGCAAAGGGAGGGGGAAGAGGGGAGAACAGAGGGCAGAGCAGAGCCUGGAGUGAAAGGUGGAGUGAAAGGUGGGGUGAAAGGUGGAGUGGAGGGUGGACUGAAAGGCGGGGAGAGCCAGGAGGGAGAGAACAGCCCACCCACAGGGGUGGCAGGUGGGGCAGGAGCCCAGCCAAAAGGUACGGGAAACAGGAAGUAGCCAGCCAGUCGAACUCUGAUCAAGAUACUAGCGACAAAUGGUUGGAGCCCGAGUCCUCAGAAGAGAAAACAGUAAACAAGAAUAUCCCCCUCCACAUUAAAAAAGAACUGAAAGAGGAUACCCUCUCACAGACUGGGGUCAGUUAUUUUUCUAGAGAAAUGAAGAUAGCCACAACUGAAACAGCUGUGACAGAACACUGAUAAACACCUGCUUGUGGAUAGAAGUGAAUGCAGUCUGUGACACCCUUGACUUCACCAGGAGUUCUAUUGGUUGUUGCAAUCUCUGCAGUUUUUGUUUGUUAUAGCUUUCUCAUUUUUCAGUGUUUCCAGAAUUUUAAGAAGGUGUGCCAUUGCUGAGGAUCAGCUGCCAUGGGAGAGGCUUCAGAUUAAACCAACUGCUGCAUGGUUUGAUUGGUCUGGUACCUAAGGCUUCUGAUCAUUUGCUUUGUACAAAUGCAUUUCAACAGUUUGCUGUGCUGUAAGCAUCUCAUAGCUGCUACUAUUGAGAACCUUGUUUUAGAAAUGAGUUAAGAGGCAUCUUUCCAGUUUAAAGCCUAGGCCCUGGCCAAGCCUUGACUUUACCUGAACAGAAUGUUUGCCAGCAGAUCCAGAUGUUUUCUGUACUAAAACAGUAUUUGAGUCAGUUUUUGACUCAGCAAUUUGACCCUAUUAAUAUGACAGCUGGAUCAGUUUUGAAGUGGGCUUGGAGAAUCAUUUCCAGAGAUGAUUACCCAAUCCUUCACAGAUGAUUUUUUGUUUCUGUUUGUUUGCAGAGUAUGGGAUGCUGGUGCAGUGUUUAAGUAAUUAAUAGAAGUUUUAUAUUACAUAUCUUAUUAAAAAUGUUUAAGAUUCAAUUGAUUUUUAAUUGGUAUAGGUUCUUAUUAAUUGUGUAUAUGGUUUUGUGUUGUUGUUGAUGUUUAUACCAGAAGUACAUCUCAUUUUUAUUUUUUUUAAGAAAACGGGGGAAAUUGAUGCCCUAAAAGCAUUUGAUUAGUGUAAUUCAUUAACUUCAAGGGGAGAAGUGUCUGUGUUUUGUUGGCAGGUUCAAAAAGGUCACCUGUCCAUCUGACCAGACUGUCUGCCUCUGAACACAUGAGAUCCAGUGAACAGAAAAGUCACCACACAGCCUUGGUACUCCAGACAUGGAUCAGAAGUGGACCUGUCAGGACACAGUUGUGUCUGAAUACUACAUAGGGAGUUUACCAAUAGAAAUUUUAUGUUGUUAUAAUGAUGCUGUGUCUCUGCCAAUUUUUCAGUUAUCCUUUGUUUUAAGAUUUAGAAGGAUGUGAAUAACAACCUGAACAUCAAAGCCCUCAGUCACCGAUCAGCUGCCAGCUGACAUCACGGGAGCAGUGAAUGUUCCAGGACUGAAUCGUGUUAGAGAAAUUCUGUAGAUCUAAGAAAAGUGUAGAGACUCCAUCUAACUGUAUAUAAAGCAAAUUGUAGUUAUGUGUUUACCCUUUCAGCAAAUUGCUUUCACGCUUAGACUACAUAUAUACCAGAGCAUGUGUGUUAAAAUAGUUAGAUAGUAGUUUAAGAUAAAGAGUUUAGCCUGUGUAGUAAUUGUUAUAUUAGUAUAAAGUAUAAGUAUUCCCCCUUCAAGAGCUACUGUAAGCAUCUUUGAAAGUUCAUUUAACGUUAAUGCCUUAAUUAUGAAUUUGCAAAUAUGAUGUCAUUUGCAUGGAAACAACUGCUUAUAGUAAUUGUGCUGUGUAUAGUCCUGACCAACUGUCUGCUAACAUCCAAAAGUGACAGAACAUAUGGGUCACUCUGGCACAUUGAACUGGCCAAGAUCAAUGUGUUUGAGCCUAGCCACACCUGGAGAUCCUUUUUGCACCUGUCUCAUAGGAGUCCCUGAAUGGGAUCCUCAAGCAUUUAGAGGUUUAGUUAGUAAUGAGACUCGACUGAAUUGAUUGGCAAUAUUACAAGAGUGCAAUUGCACUGUUGGCUUCACAUUAAGACAAUCUGAAGCCUGCUGGCAAGCAAAAAUUACGAAAGUUCUCAAUGUUACCAUAGAACCCCCAGAAGAAUUAGAUUUGUUAAGUUCCACCAAUACCUCAGGUGGAUGGAUAAUGUUUGACCCCCAACAAAAAGUAAUUCCAACAAAGUAAUGCAGCACUGAGCUCCAGUCAACCCUAUAGCUGAUCUCGUUACUACCACUGAAAUUAAAGCCUUUAUUCACAGUGCAAUCUCACAGGAUGAUUACCAAAGCCAUUACCUAGUUCCAUAUUCCUAAUCUGUGGGGACAGAGCACAGAAUGGAAUUCCUGCUAAUCUACAUAGAAGACCCUGUUAUCUUGGGAAACUUCCUUUGUUUCCAUCCAAGCUUACACCAAUUGCUGAAUAUAACUGAUGAAAUAAAAAACAUCAAACAGUCA